GGGGGCGACCUGGUUUCGACGUGGUCGGUUCUCCGGCUGAGUUGCGAGCCGAGGUCCCCGGUCGGCCUCGUUAAUCCACCGGGAAACAACACAAAUGCGAAUCGUUCAGAUCUCGCACUCGCUGCCUAGUCUGACUAGCUAGCGACGCCCGUUCUGGCUGGGCCCGAGGCCAGAACCGGCGCUAACCAUCGGGCUUGGCGCAGAGGGAGAGUCAAUCGCCCGACGCGCGACACUUCAGGAUUGACUGGCCCGCCGGUAGGUCGUUCGCCACCGGCCGUCGGGCGAGAUCCAAGGCGAACUACGCUCGUAGACGCUCUGUUCGGUGCGUCCGCGGACGCGGGUUCGAUUCCCGCCGCCUCCAUAA
This 364-nucleotide transfer-messenger RNA is filed under the name Gaiellaceae. RNAcentral's name for it is "Gaiella sp009694305 Standard tmRNA". It matches the Rfam family "transfer-messenger RNA". From Rfam's summary of the family: Bacterial tmRNA, also known as 10Sa RNA or SsrA, is named for its dual tRNA and mRNA-like properties. Its role is to liberate the mRNA from a stalled ribosome. To accomplish this part of the tmRNA is used as a reading frame that ends in a translation stop signal. Lineage: Bacteria; Bacillati; Actinomycetota; Thermoleophilia; Gaiellales. RNAcentral also lists the same sequence under 1 other name. The record is from RNAcentral.